GAUGAACGCUAGCGGCAGGCUUAACACAUGCAAGUCGAGGGGCAGCAUAAACAUUGCUUGCAAUGUUUGAUGGCGACCGGCGCACGGGUGCGUAACGCGUAUGCAACCUACCUGUAACAGGGGGAUAACACUGAGAAAUUGGUACUAAUACCCCGUAACAUCAUUAGAGGCAUCUCUGAUGGUUGAAAGUUCCGGCGGUUACAGAUGGGCAUGCGUUGUAUUAGCUAGUAGGUGAGGUAACGGCUCACCUAGGCGACGAUACAUAGGGGGACUGAGACGGUUAACCCCCCACAUUGGAACUGAGACACGGUCCAA
RNAcentral lists this ribosomal RNA (315 nucleotides) under uncultured bacterium. Its description in RNAcentral is "bacterial SSU rRNA". It matches the Rfam family "Bacterial small subunit ribosomal RNA", at positions 28 to 334 of the family's 1533-position model. The record is from RNAcentral.